Molecule: transfer RNA, 74 nt
Filed under: Anaerolineae bacterium
Lineage: Bacteria; Bacillati; Chloroflexota; Anaerolineae
Also listed under: 1 other name
Description: tRNA-Arg
Rfam family: tRNA
About the family: Transfer RNA (tRNA) molecules are approximately 80 nucleotides in length. Their secondary structure includes four short double-helical elements and three loops (D, anti-codon, and T loops).
Source: RNAcentral
GCCCCAGUAGCUCAAUUGGACAGAGCGAGGCUCUCCUAAAGCCUAGGCUGUGCGUUCGAUUCGCACCUGGGGCA